GAUGAACGCUGGCGGCGUGCCUAAUACAUGCCAGUCGAGCGAACAGACGAGGAGCUUGCUCCUCUGACGUUAGCGGCGGACGGGUGUGUAACACGUGGAUACCCUACCUAUAUGUCUGGGAUAAUUUCGGAAAACCGGAGCAUAUCCCGGAUAAUAUAUUGAACCGCAUGGUUCAUUGGUAAAAUACGGUUUUUCUGUCUCUUAUAGAUGGUUCCGGGCUGCUUUAGCUAGUUGGUAAGGUAACGGGUUUCCAAGGCAACGAUGCGUAGCCGACCUGAGAGGGUGAUCGGCCACACUGGAACUGAGACACGGUCCAGACUCCUACGGGAGGCAGCAGUAGGGAAUCUUCCGCAAUGGGCGAAAGCUUGACGGAGCAACGGCGCGUGAGUGAUGAAGGUCUUCGGAUCGUAAAACUCUGUUAUUAGGGAAGAACAAAUGUGUAAGUAACUAUGCACGUCUUGACGGUACCUAAUCAGAAAGCCACGGCUAACUACGUG
Molecule: ribosomal RNA, 497 nt
Filed under: uncultured bacterium
Lineage: Bacteria
Description: partial 16S ribosomal RNA
Rfam family: Bacterial small subunit ribosomal RNA
Source: RNAcentral